GAUGAACGCUGACAGAAUGCUUAACACAUGCAAGUCAACUUGAAUUUGGGUUUUUAACUUAGGUUUGGGUGGCGGACGGGUGAGUAACGCGUAAAGAACUUGCCUCACAGCUAGGGACAACAUUUGGAAACGAAUGCUAGUACCUAAUAUUAUGAUAAUAGGGCAUCCUAUAAUUAUGAAAGCUAUAAGCGCUGUGAGAGAGCUUUGCGUCCCAUUAGCUAGUUGGAGAGGUAACGGCUCACCAAGGCGAUGAUGGGUAGCCGGCCUGAGAGGGUGAUCGGCCACAAGGGGACUGAGACACGGCCCUUACUCCUACGGGAGGCAGCAGUGGGGAAUAUUGGACAAUGGACCGAGAGUCUGAUCCAGCAAUUCUGUGUGCACGAUGAAGUUUUUCGGAAUGUAAAGUGCUUUCAGUUGGGAAGAAACAAAUGACGGUACCAACAGAAGAAGUGACGGCUAAAUACGUG
This 467-nucleotide ribosomal RNA is filed under the name uncultured bacterium. RNAcentral describes it as "partial 16S ribosomal RNA". It matches the Rfam family "Bacterial small subunit ribosomal RNA", at positions 28 to 507 of the family's 1533-position model. The record is from RNAcentral.